GUCUGGUGCCAGCAGCCGCGGUAAUUCCAGCUCCAAUAGCGUACGUUAAAGUUGCUGCAGUUAAAAAGCUCGUAGUUGAACGUUCGGGUUCCGCGGGACGGGGCCGCCCCGCGAGGGACGGCGCCGCCCCGGGGCUCGUGAUAUCUCAUCUCGCCGCCCGUCGCGAGGCGGACGGAGGGAUGGAUGAGGUUACCUGGAAAAAAUCGGGGCGAUCUAGGCGGGCGAACCUCGCCAACGAACGAUCGGACAUGGGAUAACGGAAGAGGGCGUCGGCUCGACUUCGUCGGUUCCUCGGGCCGAGGCACGUACGGUGAAUAGGGACGGUCGGGGCCGCCCGUACCGGGGUCGUGAGAGGUGAAAUUCUAGGAUCGACCCGAGACGAACCGCCGCGAAAGCAUUCGGCAAGGACGCUUUUCAUUAAUCAAGAACGAAAGUCGGGGGAUCGAAGACGAUCAGAUACCGUCGUAGUCCCGACCGUAAACGAUGCCGACCGAGGGCCCGGAGGAG
Molecule: ribosomal RNA, 507 nt
Filed under: uncultured eukaryote
Lineage: Eukaryota
Description: bacterial SSU rRNA
Rfam family: Eukaryotic small subunit ribosomal RNA
Source: RNAcentral